This 948-nucleotide long non-coding RNA is filed under the name Pan troglodytes (chimpanzee). RNAcentral describes it as "long non-coding RNA NONPTRT008969". Lineage: Eukaryota; Metazoa; Chordata; Mammalia; Primates; Hominidae. The record is from RNAcentral.
GUGGACUUUUGUCUUGGGGCUCACAGUAUUUUACCCCCUUCAGGGAGGUGGCUGGUUGUAGUUUAGCAAAACAGCCACUGACAUCGCUGCUCCUUCAGCCUCUGCAGACAGAGCUGCAAGAUCCUCAAGGCCUUUUUAAUCCCCAGAAACAAGGUUCGCAGGAGGCCAGAGCCUUUGGUGGUGGGGAGCGGAGUCAGCAGGGGGAGGGGAGAGGCCCUUCGGAGAGACUGAGCCGCCAGGCCAUCGAGGGAACCUGGGCCAGGGAUGAGGCACUUCAGCCCUCGGAGCAGCUGCAACAGCAGAGUCUGACCUCCCAGCAAGGAGCUCUGGCGGCAGGUGUUAAAACAGACCAAAAUGUGUUCUCCCACCCAGAAGCAAGCAAAGCCAGCCCCAGCUGCGGUUCCCUGACAGUCCAGUGAAUUCAGCCAAAGGAAAUGGCCCCACAUGGAGGUGGGUGAGGCCCAUGGAGGAUGACUGUGGUGGGAAACUCAGCAGGCGGAAAUGUUCUCUUGGUUUCUGGGCAGGCUGGAGGUUUCCCAAGGGCCGGUGAAGUUUCAGCCCUAAUAGCUGCAGGAUUCUCUCAGGGCAAGUGACAGAAGACCUGAUGACUCCGGUGGCUCAGCGGAGAGUGCAUUAAUAGGCUUGACCACUUGUGCUCGAUCUUCAGGCAAGCUGGGUCUGACCCCUGGACACUGUCCCCUGGAGCACCUGGCCUCCACGUGUCCACCCACUGCCAUGGUCAUGGCUCCUCAGCAGGAGGAGGCCCAGCAGCCUCCAGGUGCCCCUGCCUGGUGCUAGCUGCCCACCGAAGCUCUAGCCUCACACUCUCAGGUUCAAAUCCAGUGACAAGAGCGGAUCCCACAAAGGCCACGAGAGUCACCCUAAACGGUCAGCUUAGGUCCUUCGUUCACUGAGCCCAUCGCUGUCCAGGGCAAGUGGUGCUGGCUG